UGGUGAAGUGGUUAAAACACUUGGCUACUAACCGAGAGGUCGGUGGUUCGAACCCACC
This 58-nucleotide transfer RNA is filed under the name Loxodonta africana (African savanna elephant). It matches the Rfam family "tRNA", at positions 8 to 63 of the family's 71-position model. Rfam says of the family: Transfer RNA (tRNA) molecules are approximately 80 nucleotides in length. Their secondary structure includes four short double-helical elements and three loops (D, anti-codon, and T loops). Lineage: Eukaryota; Metazoa; Chordata; Mammalia; Proboscidea; Elephantidae. The record is from Rfam by way of RNAcentral.